This 408-nucleotide ribosomal RNA is filed under the name Protobothrops sieversorum (Three horned-scaled pitviper). RNAcentral's name for it is "partial 12S small subunit ribosomal RNA". Lineage: Eukaryota; Metazoa; Chordata; Lepidosauria; Squamata; Viperidae. The record is from RNAcentral.
GCCUAACCGUAACACACAAUUAAAUUACCAAUUGCCCGCCAAACAACUACGAGUCGUACUUGAAACUUAAAAGACUUGACGGUACUUCACCCCGACCUAGAGGAGCCUGUCCAAUAACCGACGAUCCACGAUUAACCCCACCCUUUCUCGCCCAACAGUCUAUAUACCGCCGUCGCCAGCUUACCUUGUAAAAGAAAUAAAGUGAGCUAAACAGUACCACACUAAAACGACAGGUCGAGGUGUAACCAAUGGAAGGGACCAAGAUGGGCUACAUUCUCAAACCAGAAUACGAAUAGCACUACGAAACUAGUGCCUGAAGGCGGAUUUAGCAGUAAGAUAGGAACAAAACACCUGACUGAACAUAACGCAAUGAAGUGCGUACACACCGCCCGUCAUCCCUGCCACCAC